GUUUCCUACGGGGGGCAGCAGUGGGGAAUAUUGCACAAUGGGGGAAACCCUGAUGCAGCGACGCCGCGUGAGUGAAGAAGUAUCUCGGUAUGUAAAGCUCUAUCAGCAGGAAAGAUAAUGACGGUACCUGACUAAGAAGCCCCGGCUAACUACGUGCCAGCAGCCGCGGUAAUACGUAGGGGGCAAGCGUUAUCCGGAUUUACUGGGUGUAAAGGGAGCGUAGACGGCAGCGCAAGUCUGGAGUGAAAGGUACCGGCUCAACCGGUACAGGCUCUGGAAACUGGCGGGCUAGAGAGCAGGAGAGG
Molecule: ribosomal RNA, 305 nt
Filed under: uncultured bacterium
Lineage: Bacteria
Description: bacterial SSU rRNA
Rfam family: Bacterial small subunit ribosomal RNA
Source: RNAcentral